UCUAAUGGGACUGCCGGUGACAAACCGGAGGAAGGUGGGGAUGACGUCAAGUCCUCAUGGCCCUUAUAGGUGGGGCUACACACGUCAUACAAUGGCCGGUACAGAGGGUAGCCAACCCGCGAGGGGGAGCCAAUCCCACAAAGCCGGUCGUAGUCCGGAUCGCAGUCUGCAACUCGACUGCGUGAAGUCGGAAUCGCUAGUAAUCGCGGAUCAGCAUGUCGCGGUGAAUACGUUCCCGGGUCUU
Molecule: ribosomal RNA, 244 nt
Filed under: uncultured Allobrachymonas sp.
Lineage: Bacteria; Pseudomonadati; Pseudomonadota; Betaproteobacteria; Burkholderiales; Comamonadaceae
Description: uncultured Brachymonas sp. partial 16S ribosomal RNA
Rfam family: Bacterial small subunit ribosomal RNA
Source: RNAcentral